This is a non-coding RNA of Heterocephalus glaber (naked mole-rat), 499 nucleotides long. NCBI's taxonomy places the organism in Eukaryota, Metazoa, Chordata, Mammalia, Rodentia, Bathyergidae. The record is from the annotation of a RefSeq genome assembly.
CGUGAACCAGGAGAAAGAAUGAUGGAGUCCUUCGGUGUUUCACUAGUGAUUCUGUGGUUUCACUUCAACUGGGUGAGCAGCCAGCAGAAGGAGGUGGAGCAGAGUCCUGAGUCCCUCAUUGUUCCUGAGGGAGCCAUUGCUUCUCUCAACUGCACAUGCAGGGACAGUGCUUUUCGAAACUUCAAUUGGUACCGACAGUAUCCUGGGAAAGGCCCCGAGUUGCUGAUGUCCAUGUACUCCAGUGGUGACAAAGAAGAAGGAAGAUUUAAAAUGCAACUCAACACAGCCAGCCAACUUGUUUCCCUGCACAUCCGAGGCUCCCAGCACAGUGACUCUGCUGUCUAUCUCUGUGCAGUGAGCACACAGUGCUCCCCAGGCACCUGCAGCCUGCACUCAAACCACAGGGGCCCAGGCAGGCCUGAGGGAGAGCAGAGACCAAGGGAGAGGGGAUUUUGUACCUGUUCCAGAUGCAGGAGGGAUUAAGAACAAGAGUAGAGAC